This 845-nucleotide small RNA is filed under the name Pongo abelii (Sumatran orangutan). RNAcentral describes it as "processed transcript". The record is from RNAcentral. Lineage: Eukaryota; Metazoa; Chordata; Mammalia; Primates; Hominidae.
GCGGGGCGCGGGGCCGCGGUGCCCAGAGGCUGCGGCACUAGGGGCUCGGCGCCCCCGACCUUCCGCGUCCCGGGGUGGCGGCGGCGGCGGCGGCGGCGCGGGCGGCAUAUGAUGCUGAGCUGGCUGCUCCAGAAUGAACCACAGCUCUGAGAAGGGGAAGUAGAAACAGCUGGCGCCCUGCCAUGGCCUGUGAACCACAGGUGGACCCGGGGGCCGCUGGCCCAUUGCCCCCCUCCUCUCCUGGUUGGAGUGCCCUGCCUGGAGGGAGCCCUCCCGGCUGGGGGCAAGUAGCCUCCUCCUUCUGGCCUUAGUUCUGCCUCCUGGGGGCUUCCCAGUCAAAUCCAGUCCUUCUCUCAAGAGGAUUUGAGGAUGGCCACAGUGUCCCUCCUUGUUGCGAGGAGGUUCUCAUGGCCAGAGGUGGGAUGCCGUCAGGCUUUGGGCUCACCCCACAAGCCUUGUAUGGUUAUCACUCAGCCAGAUGAAGCUUCUGGUCUGCUUCCAGAGCUCCACAAUGGCCAGGUCCUCACUGUUCUCCGGAUUGACAAUACCUGUGCACCCAUCUCCUUCGACCUGGGAGCCGCAGAAGAGCAACUGCAAACUUGGGGCAUCCAGGUCCCGGCCGACCAGUACAGGAGCUUGGCUGAGAGUGCCCUCUUGGAGCCCCAAGUGAGAAGAUAUAUCAUCUACAACUCGAGGCCUAUGCGGCUGGCCUUUGCUGUGGUUUUCUACGUGGUGGUGUGGGCCAAUAUCUACUCUACCAGUCAGAUGUUUGCCUUGGGGAACCACUGGGCUGGCAUGCUGCUCGUGACCCUGGCCGCAGUGAGCCUGACCUUGACUCUUGUGCU